UUGGCCUCCCAGAGUGCUAGGAUCAUAGGUAUGAGCCACCUCACCUGGCUCUAAGCAGCUUUUUAAAGUGAUCAUCAUAUAUUUGGGAACAGGAGUGACUGGGGAAAAAAAAGUGUCUGCUUGUAUUCAGAAGACACUUGAAAUAUGGGAAGCAUACCUCAUUUUAUGUUUAGUUUUGAGGUAUUUAAGUCUAGUGAAAUGGAUACAAUUAUUUUUAUCAAGUACUUUAGAAAGGAUUGGUGUUACUUCAGGUGAGUAAGAUCCAUACAGUUAGGAGUAGUAUGAAAUGAUGCCGAAUGUUUUCUUCCUAACAUUAAAAAUAGUGUUGAUCAAAGUAUGUAAUAGUGUAAAAUAAUAUGGUAAUAUUAAAGAGUGAGAAAAAUGGCCUUAUAGGUGAGUAAUGGAAGCUUUCCUUUAGAAGUGUUGAAAUUAGAUCAGAUGAAAGACCAGAGAUAAAACUGUUGUGUACUGUUAAGGAAUGAUGUUGGCUCUAUUAACCAGCGAGUUUCUAACUCUGGCUUCCCAUCACAUCCUCUCAGGGAGCCCCAGAUAUCUAUCCUUUUGGAGUUCUCAGGGGUUGAGAGUUAAGCUGUGAUUUUAUGGUAAACAUUCUGCAAGUGAGCCUCUUCUACAGCUGUAAAUUGAAGGUGGUCUCAGAGCUUUUAUGUCUUCUGCUUAGAGUCUAUAGCCUUAGACUAUAUUACUCAUAGAUACAUGUAUCUCUUGGUCUACUGGUAAUCUUUGCAAGAUGUUGAAGUUUGAGUAAAUCAUAUUGUUUAAUAAUCUAUUUUUGUUUUCUAUAUAUAAAAUUAUAUUUUUGUCCUCUGCAGAAACGUGAAUCCCCAGACUGAAUCCUUUAAAGGACCUGUACUACAUAGUAGACACUGGUAGAAGGAAUUAUACCCAGUCAGCUUGAAGAGUCUCAAAUGGACCUUACCACUGAGAAAUCAAGAUGGCAGUCCACUAUGGGGAAUUGAGGAAAUGGAUUUAUACAAGAGUCCUGUGAUAAUACUCAACCCAAGACAGGGUUCUUUUAACAUGGAUUCCAUGAAAUGAAUGAAGAUAUAGGUUUCUUACCCAACACAAAUGGACAGUGGAUUUGACUUUCUAAAGACUUUUUUGUAUCAUUAAAACAAGCACAUUUUUGACAUUUGGAGAAGAAAGAAGGCACAUUAACAGACAAUAGUUUAUAUGUCUGAAAUUUUUUUUGCAGUUGAAUUUGUAUGAGUACAACCUUGUGGAAUGUUAACUUUAAUAAAAUUUAUAACACUU
Long non-coding RNA from Otolemur garnettii (small-eared galago), 1272 nucleotides. RefSeq lists it as uncharacterized. Lineage: Eukaryota; Metazoa; Chordata; Mammalia; Primates; Galagidae. The record is from RefSeq and is a predicted model, not a curated record. The transcript is spliced from 2 exons.